CUCAUAUUUCCAUCAUCCUUGUCACUUUCAAAUCUGUAGUUCAGCUUUAACUGAUUCAAGCAUGUUUAUUAUUUUUCUGUUCAUGUUGUCAACUGCCUGUUUCAGUAGUUCUAAUUCAUUGAGCAGGUGAUCUAGUUCCCAGAAGACUAUAGGCCUCGAGAGAUGCUUAACUGAAAAGAUUCAGCUGAAUCAAACUUGGACAAGGAAGAAAAGAACUGGGCUCCAGAAAGGCAGAAGCCUGUUGGAAAUUCCUAACCAGCAGAGGCCAGGUGGCUGUAAUUAACAUCACAACAUCAAGACCAGAGAGAUGUUAAACACAUGGAUUUCAGAUGUGAAUUUGCCUUUGACAUACAAUAAUCUUCAGACAUUAGGAUUAGAACAAAAACUUUGCUAUGUUUCCAUUUCAUAAAGUAAGGGCAUUAUAAAACUCUCCAACCAUUUGAAGCUCUUCUACAUAACAGAAUGAGUGAAAUUCUGUGGGUUUAGAGAUUACCAGUUGAUUUCAACAGACAAUUGAAACUAUCAUGACUACUUUAUUCAGACUGAUAUUUCUGCUACUACAUUUUACAUUCUUUACAAAUCUCAGUGCUAAAAGAUAAUGAAAACCUUUUAGUAAAGCAUUCUUUACCUUCUCCAUGCCUAAUUUCAUAAUAAUAACCUGUAGGUUUGAACUCAGAGCUCAGGCUUCCUUUACCUCCCCCGAUGUGCCAUUUUCAUUUCCUGUGCCUAUUUUGUUAACCUGUCCGGAGUUAUGAAACAGAUAACAUAGAAGAGCUGAGCAUUAAUAAUCCAUUUUCACAGAUGUCAUUCUCUCUGCUUCAUUAGCAGACUUGAUCCCGUACAGCUUUCUAUAGAUGGGCCUGAAAAAUCUACCUCAAUGAAUUAGACACAAUAUGAACUCUGUCUUGGGGGUAAAAAGUGCAUAUGUUCUCCAAAAGGUACUCAUCUAGUUCUUUUCCAUUUUCACAUUUACAAGUAUUAAAUUAUCUGACUUUCAAGGUGACACCUUUGGAUCUGAGAAAAUCAGAGUGGUAGAUAAUGGAAAUAAAUCUUCAAAGACACUGGGCCAAGACAUAUGAGCCAGACUUGUAAAGGGAUUGUUUCAGGUGAUAACUAGGAAGACACCAAGAGCAGAGUUCACCUAAUUCACCAUUUUUCUUACAGAAUUAGUAGUUAUUAAUAACUAUUAGUACAGCAAGUCCCUCAAAGAGGAUGGAAAUAUUAUACACAAUUCUUUGAUCCCAAAUAAACACUUUGCCUCUUAAACUGUUUUCUAUUUUUGUAGGUUCACACACCUCAUUCCCAUUUUUCUGAAACCAGUGGUGGUUAUUAAUGACUAUGAGUACAGCAACAAGUCCCUUAGAGAGGAUGGAAAUAUUAUACCCAGG
This is a long non-coding RNA of Equus asinus (donkey), 1388 nucleotides long. NCBI's taxonomy places the organism in Eukaryota, Metazoa, Chordata, Mammalia, Perissodactyla, Equidae. The record is from Ensembl.